GGCCAGGUAGCUCAGUUGGUUAGAGUGUCGUCUCCAUAAGCCAAGGUUGUGGGCUCAAUCCCCUUUCAGGUCA
Non-coding RNA from Myotis lucifugus (little brown bat), 73 nucleotides. The record is from Rfam. Lineage: Eukaryota; Metazoa; Chordata; Mammalia; Chiroptera; Vespertilionidae.